This 426-nucleotide ribosomal RNA is filed under the name uncultured bacterium. RNAcentral's name for it is "bacterial SSU rRNA". It matches the Rfam family "Bacterial small subunit ribosomal RNA", at positions 354 to 796 of the family's 1533-position model. The record is from RNAcentral.
GUGAGGAAUUUUCCGCAAUGGGCGAAAGCCUGACGGAGCAAUGCCGCGUGAAGGAUGAAGGCCUAUGGGUUGUAAACUUCUUUUCUCAGAAAAGAAUUAUGACGGUAUCUGAGGAAUAAGCAUCGGCUAACUCUGUGCCAGCAGCCGCGGUAAGACAGAGGAUGCAAGCGUUAUCCGGAAUGAUUGGGCGUAAAGCGUCUGUAGGUUGUUUAAAAAGUAUUCUGUCAAAGAUUAGGGCUUAACCCUAGAUAGGCAGAAUAAACUUUUAAGCUAGAGUUUGGUAGAGGCAGAGGGAAUUCCCGGUAGAGCGGUGAAAUGCGUAGAUAUCGGGAGGAACACCAAAGGCGAAGGCACUCUGCUGGGCCAAUACUAACACUGAGAGACGAAGGCGAGGGGAGCAAAUGGGAUUAGAUACCCGUGUAGUCC